RNAcentral lists this ribosomal RNA (460 nucleotides) under uncultured bacterium. RNAcentral's name for it is "partial 16S ribosomal RNA". It matches the Rfam family "Bacterial small subunit ribosomal RNA", at positions 338 to 795 of the family's 1533-position model. The record is from RNAcentral.
CCUACGGGAGGCAGCAGUGAGGAAUAUUGGUCAAUGGACGCAAGUCUGAACCAGCCAUGCCGCGUGCAGGAUGACGGCUCUAUGAGUUGUAAACUGCUUUUGUACGAGGGUAAACGCCGAUACGUGUAUCGGGUUGAAAGUAUCGUACGAAUAAGGAUCGGCUAACUCCGUGCCAGCAGCCGCGGUAAUACGGAGGAUCCGAGCGUUAUCCGGAUUUAUUGGGUUUAAAGGGUGCGUAGGCGGUUUGAUAAGUUAGAGGUGAAAUGGCGGGGCUCAACCCCGAAACUGCCUCUGAUACUGUUAGACUAGAGAAUAGUUGCGGUAGGCGGAAUGUAUGGUGUAGCGGUGAAAUGCUUAGAGAUCAGACAGAACACCGAUUGCGAAGGCAGCUUACCAAACUAUAUCUGACGUUGAGGCACGAAAGCGUGGGGAGCAAACAGGAUUAGAUACCCUUGUAGUC